UACAGAGGGGGCAAGCGUUGUUCGGAAUUACUGGGCGUAAAGGGCGCGUAGGCGGCCCGCUAAGUCGAACGUGAAAUCCCCAGGCUCAACCUGGGAACUGCGUCCGAUACUGGCAGGCUUGAAUCCGGGAGAGGGAUGUGGAAUUCCAGGUGUAGCGGUGAAAUGCGUAGAUAUCUGGAGGAACACCGGUGGCGAAGGCGGCGUCCUGGACCAACACUGACACUGAGGAGCGAAAGCCAGGGGAGCAAACGGG
This 253-nucleotide ribosomal RNA is filed under the name uncultured bacterium. RNAcentral describes it as "partial 16S ribosomal RNA". It matches the Rfam family "Bacterial small subunit ribosomal RNA", at positions 524 to 776 of the family's 1533-position model. The record is from RNAcentral.